This 323-nucleotide ribosomal RNA is filed under the name uncultured bacterium. RNAcentral describes it as "bacterial SSU rRNA". It matches the Rfam family "Bacterial small subunit ribosomal RNA", at positions 28 to 334 of the family's 1533-position model. The record is from RNAcentral.
GAUGAACGCUGGCGGCGUGCCUAACACAUGCAGGUCGAGCGAAGCGAUCUGAUGGAAGUUUUCGGAUGGAAGUCAGAUUGACUGAGCGGGCGACGGGUGAAGUACGCGUGGUAACCUGCCUCAUACAGGGGGAUAACAGUUGGAAACGACUGCUAAUACCGCAUAAGCGCACGGUAUCGCAUGAUACAGUGUGAAAAACUCCGGUGGUAUGAGAUGGACCCGCGUCUGAUUAGCUAGUUGGUGGGGUAACGGCCUACCAAGGCGACGAUCAGUAGCCGACCUGAGAGGGUGACCGGCCACAUUGGGACUGAGACACGGCCCAA